This 253-nucleotide ribosomal RNA is filed under the name uncultured bacterium. RNAcentral's name for it is "partial 16S ribosomal RNA". It matches the Rfam family "Bacterial small subunit ribosomal RNA", at positions 524 to 776 of the family's 1533-position model. The record is from RNAcentral.
UACGUAGGGCGCAAGCGUUGUCCGGAAUUAUUGGGCGUAAAGAGCUCGUAGGCGGCUUGUCACGUCGGGUGUGAAAGCCCGGGGCUUAACCCCGGGUCUGCAUCCGAAACUGGCAGGCUAGAGUACGUAAGAGGGUCGCGGAAUUCCCGGUGUAGAGGUGAAAUUCGUAGAUAUCGGGAGGAACACCGGUGGCGAAGGCGGCGACCUGGGACGAUACUGACGCUGAGGUGCGAAAGCGUGGGGAGCAAACAGG